Molecule: ribosomal RNA, 557 nt
Filed under: uncultured bacterium
Lineage: Bacteria
Description: bacterial SSU rRNA
Rfam family: Bacterial small subunit ribosomal RNA
Source: RNAcentral
ACGGGUGAGUAACGCGUGGGAAUCUACCCAUCUCUACGGAACAACUCCGGGAAACUGGAGCUAAUACCGUAUACGUCCUUUUGGAGAAAGAUUUAUCGGAGAUGGAUGAGCCCGCGUUGGAUUAGCUAGUUGGUGGGGUAAUGGCCUACCAAGGCGACGAUCCAUAGCUGGUCUGAGAGGAUGAUCAGCCACACUGGGACUGAGACACGGCCCAGACUCCUACGGGAGGCAGCAGUGGGGAAUAUUGGACAAUGGGCGCAAGCCUGAUCCAGCCAUGCCGCGUGAGUGAUGAAGGCCCUAGGGUUGUAAAGCUCUUUCAACGGUGAAGAUAAUGACGGUAACCGUAGAAGAAGCCCCGGCUAACUUCGUGCCAGCAGCCGCGGUAAUACGAAGAGGGCUAGCGUUGUUCGGAAUUACUGGGCGUAAAGCGCACGUAGGCGGAUACUUAAGUCAGGGGUGAAAUCCCGGGGCUCAACCCCGGAACUGCCUUUGAUACUGGGUAUCUCGAGUCCGGAAGAGGUGAGUGGAAUUCCGAGUGUAGAGGUGAAAUUCGUAGA